CCCUUAGAUGUUCUGGGCCGCACGCGCGCUACACUGACGAAGUCAGCGAGCAUGUCCUACGCCGACAGGUGCGGGGAAUCUUGUCAAACUUCGUCGUGAUGGGGAUUGAUUAUUGAAAUUCUUGAUCAUCAACGAGGAAUUCCUAGUAAGCGCAAGUCAGCAGCUUGCGCUGAUUACGUCCCUGCCCUUUGUACACACCGCCCGUCGCUACUACCGAUUGAAUGGUUUAGUGAGAUCUUCGGAUUGGCGCCACUGCGGCUCAGCAAUGGGCUCGGUGGAUGCCGAAAAGUUGAUCAAACUUGAUCAUUUAGAGGAAGUAAAAGUCGUAACA
This 331-nucleotide ribosomal RNA is filed under the name uncultured eukaryote. RNAcentral describes it as "partial 18S ribosomal RNA". It matches the Rfam family "Eukaryotic small subunit ribosomal RNA", at positions 1470 to 1796 of the family's 1831-position model. The record is from RNAcentral.